This 805-nucleotide long non-coding RNA is filed under the name Pongo abelii (Sumatran orangutan). RNAcentral's name for it is "lincRNA". The record is from RNAcentral. Lineage: Eukaryota; Metazoa; Chordata; Mammalia; Primates; Hominidae.
GGGGUCAGUCCAGAAGCCUUCAGAUAACACCAGGGUGUAACCCUGGCCAGAAAUCUUCAGUUGCUUCAGGACCUUUUCUAGCCCCACGCGACGGCUAGGUCCUCCGUGAGAGAAAACUGGUUCGAGAAGCACGGCCAACAUUCUCAAUGACCCGCAGAUGUGGUUUCCACCUGGCCAGUGCCAUGACACCGGCACACAUGGCGACAAGGAGAAGGGAGAAGAAAACCUCUAUGUUGUAUAUACCUGGCUUUUGGCAUAGCUGCCAGGAUUCACCUGUGCAAGCUUCCAGCUUGCUUAUCUGUGCUUGCAGCUUGAUUUUUCAGGCUACUUUCUGUUAGAAAAGAAAUGAUUUGGGGGCUGCUUUCUAUUAAAAGAAAAACCUUACCCAGGACUCCUGUACCCUCACUAUCUGCCUAAAUAAUUUCUUAAUGCCUAUAUUAUUCCCUUUAAAUAAAUUUUUUUGUGGUGUUUGUCUUAUUGUUAUUAGGUUAUGAGAAUUCAUUAUAUAUUCAAGAAAUAUAUAAUUCAUUAUAUAUAUAGUUUUAUAAAUUAAAUAUAAGUAUAUAAAUAUAUAAUUUAUUACAUAGUCAGGAAAUAUAUUCAGUCCUUUUGGGAAAUAUUUUCUCUCAGUCUAUACUUUGUCCUUUCUUAUACUUAACAGUAUGUUUUUUAGAGCAGAAGGUUUUACUUUAAAAAAUUAUUAAUAUUAUUUUGACUUAUACCUUUGGCUAGAACAUUACUGGUGUAUAGAAAUGGUGCUGAUAUCUGUACAUUAAUUUUGUAUCCUUAAACUUUAACUGAAUUC